Molecule: long non-coding RNA, 638 nt
Organism: Mesocricetus auratus (golden hamster)
Lineage: Eukaryota; Metazoa; Chordata; Mammalia; Rodentia; Cricetidae
Exons: 3
Source: RefSeq, a predicted model, not a curated record
GAAACCAGAGGCCUUGAACCAGACCAGUGACUCAUUGCAAUGAACAUGUACUAGCAAAGCUGAUGGAACAAAGGGUGUAUUAUAUGACGCACUGAGGCCCCCCAGUGUUACUAGGACAAAUGAAGAGGUGCUGGAGAGGGGUGCUGCAGGGCUGAGGGGAGGAUAUGGAGGAGAUACCAGGAAGUGAGCAGAAUUGGAGUAUAUGAAAUGGCACUCCCAAAGAAUCAAUAAAAAAGCUCCUCCCGGUCCAGUCACUAGUGACCUGCUCAGAAGACCAGAAGCUGCUGUGAGCGCCUGCCAAGGAGGGGCUGAUGGCCUCCAUGGAGGCAGAACAUACUGCUUUUUGUUGUUGUUCCCCAUGGAGAGGCCCUUUCAUGUCUGAAUCCUGACGUUCUCUGGGUCCAGUGAGUCCUGGUGAGAACCUGCUAGUACUGGGCCUGUGACUGGGCUCCCAAAGGGCCCUGUGGAACUUCCAUUUCCACACCCAGGAGACUUGGAAAACCACACACACUUUUAUUCAUCUUUUAAGUAGGCUGUGUUUCAGCCCCUGCCUCCAGGUUCCUGCCCUACACGGUUCCGGGUUCUGCCUUGGCUACACUCAGUGGUUGACUGUGACCUGGAAGCUAAUAAACCCUUUC